GAGUCACGUGCUCCCUGCUGGCCAAACAACAGUAGCCUGGAGUGUGAAGGUUGUUUGGAAGCUCCUCCUCCUUCUGAGACUGACAGUCAACAGAGCCACACUGUAUGGAGUGCCAAAUGCUGAUCGCUUUAAUAAUAAAGUCCUUAUAUCCUAGCAGCAAGCCCCACUUUCCAGUAACUGAAGUCAUCUGCAGACACUGAGACCGUCCUUCGGAGGUGGGGCAGCUGAGAACCAUUGAAUACGGGAAGGCGUCUGAAGGCUCGUGGAAGCAGGGAUGCAGAAACACAUCCUCAUCACCUCCCGUCUCGCCUUCUCCCUCAGGAGAGCUAGAAGAGCAGUGGAAGCUGAAAGUGCCCUGGCCAGUGAGAUUCUUUAGCAGCUAAGCAACAGGCUGAAGUAGCUUCUGUGUUGGGCAAGGAGGCUUCUAACCAUCUGAGCCUACCAGUGGAAAAUCAAGCAGACCCGUAAAGCAAGACCUUACAUCCCACAGGCGUGGAGAAUUGGGUUAUGGCACUAAGCAAUGGAUUCCCAUCAGCCAAGGAAAAAAAAUGAUGCUGAUGAAUUUUAAAGUUCAUGUAGUCGGAGAUGUCCUGAUGCCUGCCACAAUGAACUUGACUGAUACAACCCAACAAGCAGAUGCUUGGUGUCUGGCCUGAAGCAUUGUUUAGCGGGAUGAGAGAUUAUAGGGCUCUUUACAAGUGAUCACCUACCAUGUAUGUGGGUAAAGGUUGACUACACAACCACCGUUCUGUAAAAAUGUGUUAAUCACAAGAAACAUACCACAAACCAUCAGAAAGAUUUGGCCUAGAUGUCCUGGAGAUAUUGGCACAACAAACAAGCAAACAAAACUCCAAAACAAAAGAAAUUCACAAACAAACAA
Molecule: long non-coding RNA, 880 nt
Filed under: Mus musculus (house mouse)
Lineage: Eukaryota; Metazoa; Chordata; Mammalia; Rodentia; Muridae
Description: RIKEN cDNA A630031M04 gene
Source: RNAcentral